GGUAGAUCAGACAAAAAAACCAAAGAACCGCGUCGGCCCUGAAGGCAGCACGUCAGUCCACCGGGACAGGGUCCGGUGAGUCACGUGGUCCAGGCCCGUGUGGUAGUUUGAUAGCUCUGGCGCGAGGGAGACGACCUCCAUCGAUCCACAGUGAACCAGUGCUCACACAGCCCUCUCUAUUUGCAUGCAUGUGGAUCCAGCAAACAAACGGGCUUCAGUGUUCAUCUCCGAAGAUAGAACAGAGGCACAAAGCUCGUGCCCAUGGGUACACAAAUGCCACAAGAAUCCUGUGCUGUGAUUACUGCCUGCAGUCACAAGGUCAAGCCGGUGACUCAAACAGUGAUCCCAGAAGACACCACUUUCCCAUGAGACAUGAGAAAGGCCAGGACAACCAACAAGCAGGACCUCUGCUAGCAAUCACGGCAGGAGAAACACCCCGUGGGCUGGAGCCCCUUGGAGAUGUACACUCAGCAGCAGAAGAGGAUCAAAGCCUAUAGCGAAGAAAAUAGAUCAGAUUAACGAAACCAAGCUGUUUCUGCAGCUCAGAGACGUGACCGUGAUAGUGACCAUGAUGGCUAAAUCUGCUUGUCCACAAAUAUUGUAUUGUUGUAAAGUUUUUCUUUGGUAUUGUGAACAUAAGAUUUAUGGCCUUAACUCUGACGUCCAAAAGCAUGCUGAACCAAAUGAGUGUUUUGCUGUCUGGGUCCAACUCAAGAAUCGCUCAUCUUAUCUGCUUCACAUUUGGCAUGUGUAUUGUUAGGAGUCCAGGGAAGUGCAGAGUUAAAUUUGCAGUGGCGUAAUUGAUGUUGUCGAUCAUGACAACAAUGUGUUCGGGGUUCUGCAUGCUGAGUGGUGCCUCACUGCACUUUGAGUAAACAGGUGAACAGCUCUUUGUGCAUUAAUGGUGGUGCAGCUUCAGGGUUCUACGAACUGAAUCUCACAGUCGCUCUUUACUUGCUGCUGCUCAAUUACUGCAGGAGAUCGAACCAAAAUUAGCAAAGUUGGUGGGUAUCUAUCACCACUGUAAAUGACCCAUUCACAUACAGGUUGAUCAUAUGAAAUAUUGAUUGCAACAGCUUCGAGUGAAAAUGUUACUCUCACAAUGGCCUGCAUCGUUUAACAUGUGGAUGAGAAAUCUUAGUUUCAUUUGUUAUUUUUUAAAUUUUAUCCCACUGCCUAAAACUUUUAGAGUGACUACAUUUUUUAUAAAUACAAAUACCAUACUGCCAUAUCAGUUACACAGCCUAUCUUUCCAUUGUUGAGACAUUGCACCAGGUGAAACAUACUGAUAGCGGCACUACACACAGCAUGACAGGCAGAGGAAAUGAAGCAGAACCAUAGAUCAGAGUGAGGAGGAGGCUCUCUGAAGGACGAAUUUGUCAAGCGUCCCUCGACCCACAUGCAGAUAGAUUGGAGGCAGUCUCAUUAAAAAUAAUUGUCCUUGAAACGUAUGCCCAUCCAGACCCUGAGGAAUACCUUUGGCUCUCAGGGUUGGUAAUUGAAGCUGACCACAGUAAAUCAGCCCCAGUGGUUGUUGUGUCGACAACCUGGGAGAAGAUUAAGCUGGUAUCUCAGCAUCGGGAGAAACCUGGAUUUACUGCACAAAAUAACAGUCACAGACAACAUAAGUCAAGCUAAAUGGAUGUGUGUGUCUUUGUGUGUUGAUGUUUGUUGCAGUGUGUAACAGGAAGUAGUGCACUGAUCAGUAUGAUUACACGCUGCACCCUGAGAAAAGAAACGGGCUUAUUAACCUUUGCUGUGAGAGUUAAAUAUUGGUAAUAAAUUGUACAUAUACAUCUCAGAUUACUAAAAUGGCAUGACCUUUCUCGGAAUCAUUGAAGUAGCUGCGUUUCUUUUCUUAGCCUGGGCCCACAAUUAAGAUUUUCAUCGUCGUCUCGAGGGCCUGUCAGAUG
Paralichthys olivaceus (Japanese flounder) is the source of this 1913-nucleotide non-coding RNA. The record is from RefSeq and is a predicted model, not a curated record. Lineage: Eukaryota; Metazoa; Chordata; Actinopteri; Pleuronectiformes; Paralichthyidae.